GUUGUAAUCAUGUUUUCAUCAUGUUCAACGUUUAUGUUCUCUACAAUGAUGUCUAAGUAGUGAAUAGGUUUAUGAGGAUGGGUUAGAGUAGUGUAGAAUUCUCAGUAUGCUAGGUGGUUGAGUAUUGAUUGAUAGAUCCCUUCUGGAUUAGUUGUUCUUAAUGCCUAUUGCUUUCUGAUCAACUGGAAUUUGAGCCCAGACAUUUCCGCGCCCAAAAGGUGUUCGAUGAAAUGUCUGAACUACUAAUUCCAGAGAUUCGUGGCCCUGUACCAAGGUAUUGGUUGCAGUGAGCGUUUUGGCUUUAACUUGUUGAUUCGUAAUGCCUGUUAGGUUAGCUCUCGUCAAUGGUGAUUGAGUCUGGGACUAGGUUAACUUGAGGGUCUCUGUUGCGGUGGCACUUAGAUUUGGUUAAUGAACUUGUUGUCUGGGGAUAAUUUAUUGAGCAUGUCAAUCACCUGUAAACUGAGGAAACGAAACUACUCAAUUACCCCAUCCUCGGGAAUUCUUUAUCUGAUUGAUUUUAUUGUUUACUCUACUGUUGUUUACUCCAUCUUGUUACCUGUUGUUUAGUUUUUGCACUUCUCUCCUGUUACUCGACCUGAUACUCGACCACCUAGUUGUCUGGCAAUAGACUGUGCAGUCGAGUGUCUCUAUUUUGUUUACUGCCUUUUACUCGACCAAGUCACUCGACCACAUCCAGUGCUCUACAACGAGCUGUGUUGGUCGAGUGUUUUACUGUUUCUGUUUGAUUUUCUGUUUUCUGCAUGUUCACUUAGGACUGCUAGAACACACCAAAACCUGUUAUUUCUUGGCUUGACUUAGUGUCUUCUGAUCACAUCUUGAUUGUUAGCAUUACACCCAUUUGGAUUGACAACCUUCAGUACUACAACGACAUGAUAGUGCUUUAGGAGUAA
Molecule: small RNA, 914 nt
Filed under: Arabidopsis thaliana (thale cress)
Lineage: Eukaryota; Viridiplantae; Streptophyta; Magnoliopsida; Brassicales; Brassicaceae
Description: ATSL095870
Source: RNAcentral